AACCUUUUGAAAUGUCCAGCUCUUAUGCAACAGGUUAAAUACUUUUUCCCUUCUCCCUUAUUCAGCAGAGAGGAGUUGGCAAUUGACACGAUGCAGAGGCACAGAAUGAAACCUAUUUAGAACAGAUGUUAGUAUUUUUAAAAAAAAGUCACGUGAAACGAGCAGAUGUUCAGACUGUGCAGAGAGUGGCCGUGCCGCGCAUUGCUCUGCAGAGAGAGAGAGAGAGAGAGAGAGAGAGAGAGGAGCUUUUUUCCUUUACACCGACACCAACCGCGAGUCCGAUAUUCGGUUAUAGGUUCGAUGAGAAAGGAUUAAUAAAAGGUGCUAACGGCGGGGGUCGCCGGGGAGCUGGCCGAUCGAGCGGAGACACAAAAGGACUCUUCACACGGAUCCCUCAGUCCAGCCAGCUGGUCAGAUGAUAAAGACAACGACCACAACAACAACAGUAAUCACAUGAGUAACCGAUUUGGUUGUUUUUGUGAUAUAUAAAAUCAGUCUUGUGGUUUGUUUAGUUGAGAAAAUAAUCAUUUUUCAUGUUAAUUAUCGAAUUUCUUAGAUUUCACAAACAACGUAUAUGACAUUCUGAUGCAUUAAUUAGUCAUUAAUGUCGUUUUGUCAUGUGUUAUGACUGAAUUGGUGUAAAAAUGUAAAUCUAACCAUCGCUCAUAUUUACAUGUUAUUUAUUUUCUCCCAUGCAUAAAAGUAAAAUCUUCCAGUUUAAUAGCGUAUUAAUAGUUAUACAUUAUAACAAUGUCAGUGGGGGGCCCUUUGAAAAGUAAUAAUCUCAGUGUAAGUCAACAUAAACCUCAUCUUCUCUCCUCCAUCUCCAUGUCAUCAGGCUGCUGGCUUUGUCCUGCAUAACAGAACACCGGCUGUUUGUGACCUCAGUGCUCAAUCAAGUUCAAAGAAGACUGCGAGUGUUUGGCAGAUAUUUUUUCACGAGGGCAGUGGGAGAGCAGUGUUUGGUCAACCUCUGGCUCCCUCUUUGAUUCGCCGCUCUCUCCACUUAAGGCCCUCCAUUCAAGCCACACUGGUCAGUCUGAUAAGAUCCGGGUGAUAACUGACUUGGCUUUCAAUCUCUUUUCAUUUGUAUUACCUGCCAUUUAUACACAACAUGCCUUGAACUUUUGUUUUCACAAUUGCAUCAAAAUCUGUCAAACUUUAGUAAAAGACUAAAAUGCGAUUAAAGAAAUGUUUGAAACAGUAAAUGGAUUCCUGAGCAGCAGGACCCGAGUUAGUCACUGAAACACUCUUCCACCAAACCUUCAAUGCUAACUGUCUAUCAUUUUAGAAUAUGAGGAAUAAUUAUAAUAAUAUCAAGGGAAGACUAACUGAAUAUGUUUGGUUCUUCUUAGUAAAAUCAACUUUUACCUGCAACAUCCCCUGAUGAAUGAUUGUAAAAAAAACCAUCUUUGCAUGAUUUCAGCUCUGGAAAUGUAUUCAUCUUAAGUAAAUAAAACAGGAAAUAAAGCUUUAAUCUCUUGUG
Molecule: non-coding RNA, 1486 nt
Organism: Gasterosteus aculeatus aculeatus (three-spined stickleback)
Lineage: Eukaryota; Metazoa; Chordata; Actinopteri; Perciformes; Gasterosteidae
Source: RefSeq, a predicted model, not a curated record